Molecule: long non-coding RNA, 641 nt
Organism: Acyrthosiphon pisum (pea aphid)
Lineage: Eukaryota; Metazoa; Arthropoda; Insecta; Hemiptera; Aphididae
Exons: 2
Source: RefSeq, a predicted model, not a curated record
ACACAAUGAAGUUCUAAAGAUAAUAUUAAGUACCUAUUUUAAAAGAUGUACAAAUCCUUGGCAUGUUUUGAUCAAUAAUAUUAAUUUACAACCAAAUGCAUAUAAUAUUACAAAUUGUUUUUUGACCUACAACAGCUACCUUGUGUAAUAUAUCAUAAUAAUUUUUUGCUUAAAAUGAUGCUAUGAAUUUCAAUGUAUAAUUCAUUAAAAUUUAAUAUAAUACCUAUAAGUUGUAUAAAAUCAAUCCAUUAUAAUAUUAUAAUACAUUGUUUUUUUUUUUAUGAUUAAUUAUUAUUGUGUUUCAGCUUUUUACACUAAAGUGUAAAGAUUUGGAAGAAAAUUUACUUAAUCAUUGUUCAAAAUGGGGAAUUUCGACGUUGGGUAAUCCAAGUCUAAUGCUACACCCCGAUGUCAUAUUGCAAAACAUAAAUUUACGAUUUACACUUAUUAAAAACAAAUUGUUAUAAAAAAAUAAAUAUUUUUAAACUAUUGCGAAGCAUGUAUUGUUAAAUUUUUGACUCGGUUUUUUUUUUACAAUGGUCAUACAACCUAUAGCAGUAUUAGUUAUAUCCAAUUUAUAAUAUUUAUGUUUUAUACAUCACAUCAGAAAUAUUCGUACAAAAAAAGUUGACAAUUAUUUC